UACGUAGGGUGCGAGCGUUGCCCGGAAUUACUGGGCGUAAAGAGCUCGUAGGCGGCUUGUCGCGUUGUUCGUGAAAACCGGGGGCUUAACCCUCGGCGUGCGGGCGAUACUGGCAGACUUGAGUACUGCAGGGGAGACUGGAAUUCCUGGUGUAGCGGUGGAAUGCGCAGAUAUCAGGAGGAACACCGGUGGCGAAGGCGGGUCUCUGGGCAGUAACUGACGCUGAGGAGCGAAAGCGUGGGGAGCGAACAGG
RNAcentral lists this ribosomal RNA (253 nucleotides) under uncultured bacterium. Its description in RNAcentral is "partial 16S ribosomal RNA". It matches the Rfam family "Bacterial small subunit ribosomal RNA", at positions 524 to 776 of the family's 1533-position model. The record is from RNAcentral.